This 1396-nucleotide ribosomal RNA is filed under the name Levilactobacillus parabrevis. RNAcentral describes it as "bacterial SSU rRNA". It matches the Rfam family "Bacterial small subunit ribosomal RNA". Lineage: Bacteria; Bacillati; Bacillota; Bacilli; Lactobacillales; Lactobacillaceae. The record is from RNAcentral.
ACUUCCGUUAAUUGAUUAUGAGGUGCUUGCCUGAUAUUUUAAGUGAGUGGCGGACGGGUGAGUAACACGUGGGUAACCUGCCCAGAAGCAGGGGAUAACACCUGAAACAGAUGCUAAUACCGUAUAACAGAGAAAACCGCCUGGUUUUCUUUUAAAAGAUGGCUCUGCUAUCACUUCUGGAUGGACCCGCGGCGCAUUAGCUAGUUGGUGAGGUAACGGCUCACCAAGGCGAUGAUGCGUAGCCGACCUGAGAGGGUAAUCGGGCCACAUUGGGACUGAGACACGGCCCGAUCCUACGGGAGGCAGCAGUAGGGAAUCUUCCACAAUGGACGCAAGUCUGAUGGGCACGCCGCGUGAGUGAAGAAAGGGUUUCGGCUCGUAAAGCUCUGUUGUUAAAGAAGAAACGUGGGUGAGAGUAACUGUUCACCCAGUGACGGUAUUUAACCAGAAAGCCACGGCUAACUACGUGCCAGCAGCCGCGGUAAUACGUAGGUGGCAAGCGUUAUCCGGAUUUAUUGGGCGUAAAGCGAGCGCAGGCGGUCUUUUAAGUCUAAUGUGAAAGCCUUCGGCUCAACCGAAGAAGUGCAUUGGAAACUGGGAGACUUGAGUGCAGAAGAGGACAGUGGAACUCCAUGUGUAGCGGUGAAAUGCGUAGAUAUAUGGAAGAACACCAGUGGCGAAGGCGGCUGUCUGGUCUGUAACUGACGCUGAGGCUCGAAAGCAUGGGUAGCGAACAGGAUUAGAUACCCUGGUAGUCCAUGCCGUAAACGAUGAUUACUAAGUGUUGGAGGGUUUCCGCCCUUCAGUGCUGCAGCUAACGCAUUAAGUAAUCCGCCUGGGGAGUACGACCGCAAGGUUGAAACUCAAAAGAAUUGACGGGGGCCCGCACAAGCGGUGGAGCAUGUGGUUUAAUUCGAAGCUACGCGAAGAACCUUACCAGGUCUUGACAUCUUCUGCCAACCUAAGAGAUUAGGCGUUCCCUUCGGGGACAGAAUGACAGGUGGUGCAUGGUUGUCGUCAGCUCGUGUCGUGAGAUGUUGGGUUAAGUCCCGCAACGAGCGCAACCCUUAUUACUAGUUGCCAGCAUCAGUUGGGCACUCUAGUGAGACUGCCGGUGACAAACCGGAGGAAGGUGGGGACGACGUCAAAUCAUCAUGCCCCUUAUGACCUGGGCUACACACGUGCUACAAUGGAUGGUACAACGAGUCGCGAAACCGCGAGGUUUAGCUAAUCUCUUAAAACCAUUCUCAGUUCGGACUGUAGGCUGCAACUCGCCUACACGAAGUCGGAAUCGCUAGUAAUCGCGGAUCAGCAUGCCGCGGUGAAUACGUUCCCGGGCCUUGUACACACCGCCCGUCACACCAUGAGAGUUUGUAACACCCAAAGCCGGGGGGUA